RNAcentral lists this ribosomal RNA (223 nucleotides) under uncultured bacterium. RNAcentral's name for it is "partial 16S ribosomal RNA". It matches the Rfam family "Bacterial small subunit ribosomal RNA", at positions 111 to 334 of the family's 1533-position model. The record is from RNAcentral.
UAACGCGUGGAUAACCUGCCUCACACUGGGGGAUAACAGUUAGAAAUGACUGCUAAUACCGCAUAAGCGCACAGUACCGCAUGGUACAGUGUGAAAAACUCCGGUGGUGUGAGAUGGAUCCGCGUCUGAUUAGCCAGUUGGCGAGGUAACGGCCCACCAAAGCGACGAUCAGUAGCCGACCUGAGAGGGUGACCGGCCACAUUGGGACUGAGACACGGUCCAA